CUGAGGGCAGGGAUAAGGAGACAGGAAACAGACAAAUGGAAUUCUUAUGGACAGCCUCCAGGCUGCUUUAGGGUUUGACAACACUGGAAUCAAGGAAAGGAGGGGGAAAUCGCACCACAUCUGUAUAGAUCCACCUCCAGUGGCAGCUCUGGUGGUGUUGGAAUUGCUGCUGACCACCACCCUCAACAGGUCUGCACCCAC
Long non-coding RNA from Neomonachus schauinslandi (Hawaiian monk seal), 201 nucleotides. RefSeq lists it as uncharacterized. The transcript is spliced from 3 exons. NCBI's taxonomy places the organism in Eukaryota, Metazoa, Chordata, Mammalia, Carnivora, Phocidae. The record is from RefSeq and is a predicted model, not a curated record.